UCAUAGCUCAGGGGUAGAGCACUUGCCUAAUAUGCCCAAGGUCCUGAGAUCAAUCCUCAGCAUAAA
This 66-nucleotide transfer RNA is filed under the name Marmota monax (woodchuck). RNAcentral's name for it is "tRNA.Ile". The record is from RNAcentral. Lineage: Eukaryota; Metazoa; Chordata; Mammalia; Rodentia; Sciuridae.